RNAcentral lists this long non-coding RNA (1427 nucleotides) under Sus scrofa (pig). RNAcentral describes it as "lncRNA (ENSSSCG00025026377.1)". The record is from RNAcentral. Lineage: Eukaryota; Metazoa; Chordata; Mammalia; Artiodactyla; Suidae.
GUUUUUAUGAUUUUUAUUUUUUCCAUCAUAGCUGGUUUACAGUGUUCUGUCAAUUUUCUCCUGGACAGCAAGAUGACCCAGUCACACAUACAUGUAUACAUUCUUUUUCUCACAUUGUCAUGCUCCGUCAUCAGUGACUAGAUGCAGUGCUAUACAGCAGGAUCCCAUUGCUUAUCCAUUCCAAAGGCAAUAGUUUGCAUCUAUUAACCCCAGAUUCCCAGUCCAUCCCACUCCCUCCCCUUCCCCCUUGGCAACCACAAGUCUGUUUUCCAAGUCCAUGAUUUUCUUUUCUGGGGAAAGUUUCACUUGUGCCAUAUAUUAGAUUCCAGAUAUAAGUGAUAGCAUAUGGUAUGUGUCUUUCUCUUUCUGACUUACUUCACUUAGUAAUAUACAUACAUUCUCUUUCUUACAUAUUAUCUUCCAUCGUGUUCUAUCCCAAGAGACUGGAUGUAGUUCCCUGUGCUGUACAGCAGAACCUUAAUUGCUUAUCCAUUCUAAAUGGAAUAGUUUGCAUCUACUAACCCCAAACUCCCAGGCCACCCCACUCCCUCCCCUCUCCUUGGCAGGCUAGAACCAGAACCUGAGGCUCCAGACUCCCGGAGGGGCUUUUCUAGGGGUGGACAGACCAUGGCACCAUGCCUCUCCAUCUCUCUGACAGCCCCUGGCAGGCCAGAUGCCAGAGGAGAGAAAAGCAGCCCCCUGUCCACCUGCAACCAUUUCUGGUGCUGGCCCAUCUUCUGGUUGCGGGGGGGGGGGGGGGGGGGGAAGGAAUGGAGGAGCAGCCGCUGAGGCCUGAGAGCCCAACUACUGGGUCGGAACAGCCGGCCAGGCCCCCCGAUGGCCGUCUGGCCAAGACUAUGCCUGAGGCAGCUCUGGCCUUGGUCCAGGACUCCUCCUGAAAUGCCUCCACUCCUUGGUCAGGCAGAGGGGGUGUUUGUGGGGCUGGGAAGGGAGGCACAGGAGAGGCAAUGGAGCGGGGCCUCACCCACCCCUCCCCAAGCCGAGUUGUUCAGGAGGCUCUGCAGGAACUCGUGAAGUGCUGGGGUUGGAUUCUGAGGCAGCUGGCUUGGUCUAGGAGGAGGGAUGAGGGGCUCACGAGGGCGGGGGGGGGAGGUGAGAGCCCCCGCCUCCCUGGGCCUGCCUCUCCGCCCACGCACCCCCUUCUCCUCCUGUGCCAGCGAGGGCUUCGGCCACCUGGAGGAAGAUGAGGGAGACAAGGCCGGGCUGUGGAGGCGCGCGGGGCAGGGUGGAUUUGCUGGCCUGCCCUCCAGAUGUGAGUCAUUUCUGGUCUGCAUCUUCCUCCUUGUUCAGUGCUGGCAAUUUCGGAAGGGGGAUGGUGAUAUGCAGAAGGAGGCCCCACGGGUAACUCCUUUAGCAAGCCCCCACCUUGCCCAGGGCUCCCCAUGCCCCUCUCUCUACCUGCUUUC